GCUAAUUUUUAACAAUACAGGCAACUUUAGUUAUAACUAAAGCCCAGUUCCCUCCCCUGCAGAGGUAGCCUGCCCUGUCCAGCCUGCCCAGUCCCGCCUGCCCUGUCCCGCCUGCCCUGUCCUGCCUGCCCAUUUGCAAAUAAGAUAAAAUCCCUACGUCUCUUGGGACAAUUAAGAGCUUCCAAGGCCUGCAGCGGGAAGCUGAGAUGCGCUCCUGGCUGUGGGGGCUGCCCAGUUCCAGUCCGGGUCCCACCCUUGUUUGGCACCCUGCCUUGCCUGUUCUGAAAGCUGGAAGCAUCUGGGUGUGGCUGGCCCCAGACACCAUGGGAGACAGGACUGUGCUCCAGGAUGCCAAAGGCACAAUCCUGAGUUACUCCGCCGCUACUGAGUGAACCCAGUGAAUGUAGUGGAUGGCCCAGUACCGACGUCCCAGGACUGCUGGCUGUUCUUUCCUGGUUAUGACAGACAUAGUAACUAAUAAAGUGAUUUAAAACGUUCUUUGUAAAUAAAUGCUCUGAAAUCAUGACGCUGACCCUCUCAAAUGUCUAAGGAGGGACUCUCCAUGAGUGACAUGCUUUGUGUUAAAAGUAUUUAUUUGCAAUCAGGGACUUCGGUCUGUGGUGGCCGUUUCUAAAAGCUGUCUAACAUGUCUUUAAAUACCAUGCCCGGAAGUGGCUUCCGUUUAUGGAAGUCUCAGUUUCUGGUUUCUGGAAGUU
This 716-nucleotide long non-coding RNA is filed under the name Callithrix jacchus (white-tufted-ear marmoset). Its description in RNAcentral is "lncRNA (ENSCJAG00000077580.1)". Lineage: Eukaryota; Metazoa; Chordata; Mammalia; Primates; Cebidae. The record is from RNAcentral.